GUUNNNNCCUGGCUCAGAUUGAACGCUGGCGGCAUGCCUUACACAUGCAAGUCGAACGGUAACAGGUCUUCGGAUGCUGACGAGUGGCGAACGGGUGAGUAAUACAUCGGAACGUGCCCGAUCGUGGGGGAUAACGGAGCGAAAGCUUUGCUAAUACCGCAUACGAUCUACGGAUGAAAGCAGGGGACCGCAAGGCCUUGCGCGGACGGAGCGGCCGAUGGCAGAUUAGGUAGUUGGUGGGAUAAAAGCUUACCAAGCCGACGAUCUGUAGCUGGUCUGAGAGGACGACCAGCCACACUGGGACUGAGACACGGCCCAGACUCCUACGGGAGGCAGCAGUGGGGAAUUUUGGACAAUGGGCGAAAGCCUGAUCCAGCCAUGCCGCGUGCAGGAUGAAGGCCUUCGGGUUGUAAACUGCUUUUGUACGGAACGAAAAAGCUCUUUCUAAUAAAGGGGGCUCAUGACGGUACCGUAAGAAUAAGCACCGGCUAACUACGUGCCAGCAGCCGCGGUAAUACGUAGGGUGCAAGCGUUAAUCGGAAUUACUGGGCGUAAAGCGUGCGCAGGCGGUUAUGCAAGACAGAUGUGAAAUCCCCGGGCUCAACCUGGGAACUGCAUUUGUGACUGCAUAGCUAGAGUACGGUAGAGGGGGAUGGAAUUCCGCGUGUAGCAGUGAAAUGCGUAGAUAUGCGGAGGAACACCGAUGGCGAAGGCAAUCCCCUGGACCUG
Molecule: ribosomal RNA, 729 nt
Filed under: Paracidovorax valerianellae
Lineage: Bacteria; Pseudomonadati; Pseudomonadota; Betaproteobacteria; Burkholderiales; Comamonadaceae
Description: bacterial SSU rRNA
Rfam family: Bacterial small subunit ribosomal RNA
Source: RNAcentral